Molecule: ribosomal RNA, 501 nt
Filed under: uncultured bacterium
Lineage: Bacteria
Description: partial 16S ribosomal RNA
Rfam family: Bacterial small subunit ribosomal RNA
Source: RNAcentral
AUUGAACGCUGGCGGCAGGCUUAACACAUGCAAGUCGAGCGGAGAUGAGGUGCUUGCACCUUAUCUUAGCGGCGGACGGGUGAGUAAUGCUUAGGAAUCUGCCUAUUAGUGGGGGACAACAUUCCGAAAGGAAUGCUAAUACCGCAUACGUCCUACGGGAGAAAGCAGGGGAUCUUCGGACCUUGCGCUAAUAGAGGAGCCUAAGUCGGAUUAGCUAGUUGGUGGGGUAAAGGCCUACCAAGGCGACGAUCUGUAGCGGGUCUGAGAGGAUGAUCCGCCACACUGGGACUGAGACACGGCGCAGACUCCUACGGGAGGCAGCAGGGAGGAAUAUUGGACAAUGGGGGAAACCCUGAUCCAGCCAUGCCGCGUGUGUGAAGAAGGCCUUAUGGUUGUAAAGCACUUUAAGCGAGGAGGAGGCUACUGAGACUAAUACUCUUGGAUAGUGGACGUUACUCGCAGAAUAAGCACCGGCUAACUCUGUGCCAGCCGCCGCCGUAA